AUGCAAGUCGAGGGGUAACAGAGAAAAGCUUGCUUUUUUGCUGACGACCGGCGCACGGGUGCGUAACGCGUAUGCAAUCUACCUUUUGCUAAGGGAUAGCCCAGAGAAAUUUGGAUUAAUACCUUAUAGUAUGAUGACUUGACAUCAAGAUAUCAUUAAAGGUUACGGCAAAAGAUGAGCAUGCGUUCUAUUAGCUAGUUGGUAUGGUAACGGCAUACCAAGGCAACGAUAGAUAGGGGUCCUGAGAGGGAGAUCCCCCACACUGGUACUGAGACACGGACCAGACUCCUACGGGAGGCAGCAGUGAGGAAUAUUGGACAAUGGAGGCAACUCUGAUCCAGCCAUGCCGCGUGCAGGAAGACUGCCCUAUGGGUUGUAAACUGCUUUUAUACAGGAAGAAACACCUCUACGUGUAGAGAUUUGACGGUACUGUAAGAAUAAGGAUCGGCUAACUCCGUGCCAGCAGCCGCGGUAAUACGGAGGAUCCAAGCGUUAUCCGGAAUCAUU
This 507-nucleotide ribosomal RNA is filed under the name uncultured bacterium. Its description in RNAcentral is "bacterial SSU rRNA". It matches the Rfam family "Bacterial small subunit ribosomal RNA", at positions 55 to 555 of the family's 1533-position model. The record is from RNAcentral.